Mus musculus (house mouse) is the source of this 560-nucleotide long non-coding RNA. RefSeq annotates it as predicted gene, 33390. Lineage: Eukaryota; Metazoa; Chordata; Mammalia; Rodentia; Muridae. The record is from RefSeq and is a predicted model, not a curated record. The transcript is spliced from 3 exons.
CAUGGUUACAACCUUCUCUAAAACAAACAAAAAGAAUACAAUGUACUGUCAGGGACAAGAGACAAAGAUAAGGAAGGAAGAGACUGGAAUGUGGCAAUUUAGAAGGUCAGAGUUGACCUUGGCAGAAGAAUCCUGAGUGUGGUUUCUGGGAAAAGAACAGAUUGCAGGAACUACAUACAGAGUGGGCAGAACUGCAAGUGGAAACAUCCUUCCAGGUGAGAAGAUCUAUCGUUUCUUCAUAGGGAGAAAACAAAAUAUCCUCUACACAGACAACCAUCCACUCCCCAUCUCCUAUGCAAAGAUCCAUGGUUGAUUGAAUCUGUCAAUUAAGAGCCCGAAUCGGCAGGGACUGUCAGCACUUCUCUUGGCCACCAGUAAUCAGGACCGUGGCUAAAUUAACAAAGAAGAAAUCUAGAACAAGACAGCACUGACUUCAGUUCUGGGCCUGGUGUCUGCAGUUUUUAUAACCUUGCCCUUGACAGUCAAAGGACAUCCCAUCUACACAAAAUCUUUCUCCUUGAGUCAAGAAGGAAACACACCAGAGAAGGCAUCGGACCCCA